RNAcentral lists this long non-coding RNA (835 nucleotides) under Callithrix jacchus (white-tufted-ear marmoset). Its description in RNAcentral is "lncRNA (ENSCJAG00000084929.1)". The record is from RNAcentral. Lineage: Eukaryota; Metazoa; Chordata; Mammalia; Primates; Cebidae.
UUCCUGAAUACAGUCUCCAAGCAAAUCACUAUGGAAAAAUUUGUAUCUUAGCCUUGGAGGAAGAGGGAUGGCAGUUAUUCCCCCAUGAGAAAAAAUAUAAGAAAGCCCUUGUGAACUUAAUGCGAUAGCUGUUGAUUGCCUAAGGAAGAGAACAAAGCUGCAAGGGCUGCAUGAGAAGGUAGGAAGAAGUUGCUUCAACAGCACAACCCAUCUCUCUGUGACAAGCACUGGAUGGGCUGACUCAGUGAGGAUUGACAUUGGCCAAAUACCACAUCAGGUGCCAGAGAUGGGAAGAAAACAACAUGCAGAGAUAAUUUUGGAAGUAGAAAGGAAGAGGACACCACAAAGUGGGGACAUGAGAGAUACAAGUUACAGUUAGCAGAACAGGAAAUGAAGAUUCAUGUAUUAAGAAAAUUACUAAAGAGAAACUUAAGUAAGUAAGUUGUCUAAAAUUACAAUAAAGGAACUAAAAAUAAUGAGAACAUCCAUAUUGGGAGGGAGGAGGGUGUAAGUGAACUAAGUUCUCAUCUAUCAGAAUAGGAAGGAAGUCCACAGAUACAGCCUGUCUGUCUGAUAAAUAAAGAAGUGGUGAUAUGACUGUAUUAUUUAGAGAUAGGGAAGUAACCACCCAGAAGAAUUUUUUAAACUGUGGCUGUUAAAAAGUCAGACUUGGCCGGGUGUGGUGGCUCAUGCCUGUAAUCCAAGCACUUUGGAGGCCAAGGCGGGCAGAUCACCUGAAGUCGGGAAUUCAAGACCAGCCUGACCAACAUGGAGAAACCCCAUUUAAAAAAAAAAAAAAAAGUCAGACGUGGUCUAGGGUUUGAGUGGAAGACAA